UAGGCAACAUAAUGAGACUCUGUCUCUACAAAAAAUUUAAAAAUUAGUGGGGUGUGGUGAUGCAUGUGUAGUCCCAGCUACUCCGGAGGCUGAGCUGGGACUACAGGCUUACACCACCAAGCUUGGCUAAUUUUUUUUUUUUUUUUUUUUAGAGAUGGUGUUUUGCUAAGUUGUCCACACUGAUCUCAAAAUCCUUUUGUUUUUGCUUUGGAAUGGUCUGGAACUCCUGAGCUCAAGUGAUCCUCCCACCUUGGCCUCCCAAAGGCCUGGGAUUACACGUAUGAGCCACCGCACCAAGCCCAUGUUGAGCUUUUAAGGUAUUAAAGAUCCACUAGGUGAAAAAAAAGAGUGAAAGAUACAUAUGCCAUUUAAGGGAAGCACAGGAAAACUCCUAUUUUGUUUAUAUGUGAAUAGAGGCACAUAGAUGCCUAGAAAAGUGUCUGGGAGGGAAUGAAACCAGAUUGGCCACAAAAAUCACCUCUGGAAAAAGGAAAAGAAUGGGGACUUUCACUUUUUGCUUCAUAUGUUUCAUGUACCUUUUUUUUUUUUUUUUUGAGAUGGAGUUUCACUCUUAUUGCCCAGGCUGGGGUGCAGUGGUGCGAUCUCAGCUCACUGCAACCUCUGCCUCCUAGGUUCAAGCGAUUCUCCUGCCUCAGCCUCCCAAGUAGCUGGGAUUACAGGCAUGCGCCACCACGCCCGGCUAAUUUUUUGUGUUUUUAGUAGAGACGAGGUUUCUCCAUGUUGGUCAGGCUGGUCUCGAACUCCUGACAUCAGGUGAUCUACCCACUUUGGCCUCCCAAAGUGCUGGGAUUACAGGCGUGAGCCACCGCGCCCAGCUGCUUUUUCUUUUUAAAAAGUAAAAUAUAACAGAGAAAACUGCACAAAACAGAAGUGUUCAAAUUAAAUUUUUUUUUUUUUGAGACAGGGUCUUGCCCUGUUGCCCAGGCUGGAGUGCAGUGGCUCAUUCAUAGCUCACUGCAGCCUCAAACUCCUGGGUUCAAGCGAUCCUCCCACCCCAGCCUCCUGAGUGGCUGGAAGGCCAAGGGAGGAUCGCUUGAGCCCAGGAGUUUGAGGCUGUGCCACCACACGCAGCUGGUUUUUUUUUUUUUUUUUAAUUUUUUGUAGAGACAGGGUCUCGCUAUGUCACCCACGCUGGUCUCAAACUCACGGGCUCAAGCAAUCCUCCCAUCUUUGGCCUCCCAAAGUACUGAGACUACAAACAUGAGCCAUCUUGCCCAGCCCCUAGAACGUGUUAUCAAAUAAACACCGAUGCAACCCUCACUCAGCUGAGAAGUAAAACAUUGCCAGCCAAUCCCUAAAUGCUUCUGCUUGCCGCUUCCCAAUCCUAACCAAUGCCUUCUCCUGACAAUUAUGAUGGUCAUGUCUUUGCAUUUCUCUAAUGUUUCCCAUCACGAUCAAACUAGUUUUGUUUUGCCUGUGUCCAAACUUUGCAUAAAUGAGCAGCAUGUGUCUGGUGGACCUGGCUUCUUCCACUCAACAUUAUGAUAAGAAGAUUGACCAUUUGGUGCCCAUAGCUAUUGCUCUUGCAUUUUCAUUGCUCUAUAGAUUCUUACUCAACAUACCUUAAAAAUUUUUUUAUUCUGAAAUAAGAGCGGGAUGCUAUUAAAAAAAGAAAAAAGAAGAGAACAAAAAAGUCCUCCAGUAAAUUUAAAAUAUGGUAGUCAAGGCCGGGCACGGUGGCUCACACCUGUAAUCCCAGCACUUUGGGAGGCUGAGGUGGGUGGAUCACCCGAGGUCAGGAGUUCGAGACCAGCCCGGCCAACAUGGCAAAACCCUGUCUCUACGAAAAAAAUACAUAAAUCAGCCAGGUGUGGUGGUGUGCACCCGUAAUCCCAGCUACUCGGGAGGCUGAGACAUGAGAAUUGCUUGAGCCCGGGAGGCAGAGGUUUCGGUGAGCUGAGAACUGCCACUGCACUCCAGCCUGGGUGACAGAAUGAGACUAUAAAAGAAAGAAAGAGAGAAAGAGAGAGAGAAAGGAAGGAGGGAAGGGAAGGGAGGGGAGGGGAGGGGAAGGGAGGGGAGGGGAGGGGAGAGAAGGGGAAGGGAAGGGAAGGAGAAGGGAAAGGGAAGGGAAGAAAAUUAGAGAUUAAUUCAGGAGAUUCAACAUCCGCCUAAUAGAAAUUCUAGAAAGAGGAAGUAGAGAAUAGAGAGGCCAGGUGCAGUGGCUCACACCUAUAAUCUCAGCACUUUGGGAGGCUGAAGUAGGAGGAUUGCUUAAGGCCAGGAGUUUGAGGCUGCAGUGAGCUAUGAUUGAGCCACUGUACUCCAGCCUGGAAAACAAAGCAAGACCUCGUCUCUAAAAGUAAUAAUAUGCCGGGACAGUGGCUCCCCACACUUUGGGAGGCUAAGGUGGGCGGAUCACUUGAGGUCAGGCUUUCGAGACCAGCCUGGCCAACAUGAUGAAACCCAAUCUCCACUAAAAAUAAAAAAAUUAGCCAGGUGUGGUGCUGCACACCUGUAACCCCAGCUACCUGGGAGGAGACAGGAGAAUCGCUUGAACCCGGGAGAUGGAGGUUGCAUGAGGUGAGAUCGCCUCAUUGCACUCCAGCCUGGGUGAUAGAAUGAGACUCUGUCUCAAAAUAAUAAUAAUAAUAAUAAAGUUAAAUAUAAAUAAAUAAAAGCAAAUGAAUAUAAUGAGUUUUAUUCAUUUGUUUUGCUGUUGUUAUUGUUUUGGAGACAGAGUUUUGUUCUUGUCGCCCAGGCUGGAGUACAAUGAUGCGAUCUGGUCUCACUGCAACCUUCGCUUCCUGGGUUCAAGCGAUUCUCCUGCCUUAGUCUCCUGAGUAGCUGGGAUUAGAGGCGUGUGACACCACGCCCGGGUAAUUUUUGUAUUUUUAGUAGAGACGGGGUUUCACCAUGUUGGCCAGGCUGGUCUCGAACUCCUGACCUCAGGUGAUCCACCAACCUGGGCCUCCCAAAGUGCUGGUAUUAUAGGAUUGAGCCACCAAGCCCGGCCCGAAUAUAAUUUUUAAAUUUUUUUUUUUAAGACAGAGUUUCACUCUUGUUGCCUAGGCUGGAGUGCAGUGGCACGAUCUCGGCUGACCGCAACCUCCACCUCCCGGGUUCAAGCGAUUCUCCUGCCUCAGCCUCCUGAGUAGCUGGGAUUACAGGCAUGCACCACCACACCCAAAUAAUUUUCUAUUUUUAGUAGAGACAGGGUUUCUCCACAUUGGUCAGGCUGGUCUUGAACUCCCGACCUCAGGUGAUCCUCCCACCUCGGCCUCAUAAAGUGCUGGGAUUACAGGCAUAUGCCACCACGCCCGGCCUAAUUUUCUAAUUUUUUUUUUUAACUGAAGAAGGACCCCAGGAAGUCAAAAGUGCCUAUAACCCAGGAAA
RNAcentral lists this long non-coding RNA (3357 nucleotides) under Homo sapiens (human). RNAcentral's name for it is "HSALNT0124385". Lineage: Eukaryota; Metazoa; Chordata; Mammalia; Primates; Hominidae. The record is from RNAcentral.